Molecule: long non-coding RNA, 676 nt
Filed under: Triticum aestivum (bread wheat)
Lineage: Eukaryota; Viridiplantae; Streptophyta; Magnoliopsida; Poales; Poaceae
Description: long non-coding RNA (TAES_LNC017954)
Source: RNAcentral
ACCUACUAUGAUGCAUAUUUGAAAGAGUGCAUCUAUUAUUUCAGCUGAAAAUUGAUCUCUAUUUGAAGGAGUGCAUCUAUUGUGCAUCUACGCCAGAAGACAGUGUGCUGUUUUUUAUUCCAUGCUCCAAAUAUUUCAUGUCCGAUUCAUAGACAUCCUUGAAUUGCUUAACGAUGAUGGCAUGUUUGGUGUUCAUAUUUUUGUCAGCCAAAUAAUAAUAGGUGCACUUGAUUGUUUGAGAAAUGCCAACUGAAAGCUAAAUUCAGUUAGAAUUAGAUUUUUGCACGUGUGUUCUUGAUGCUUCAUGUACGACCAGUUCUCUCGAAUAAUGAGUUACUCCCUCAAUUUUACAAUAGAGAUAAUUUGUCAAAAUUGUGUUUUUGUGAACAUGCAUAGGGCCUCUCAGUCUUUAACCUUGACUAUAAAAAUCCAUUGAUGGAAGCUAGGGAGGGCCGAGAUGAACAUCCAGCUCCCUGGGUCUAAGCCAUCGAGAUGGUAGAGACGAUGUUUCCAUGUCAUCUACUCCAGCAGCCGGACAAGGCAUAUAAAAACCAUGGAUCCUUGCUCCCCAGGCGGAAAAAUGAUCACAGUGAUGUCUACGACCUCCUCCUAGAUGUAUUAAUCUCAAUCUCAUGUUUGGUUUUCUUCCCUUUUCUCUUCUAAUGAUGUAAUUUCU